CCNUGGUAGUCCACGCCGUAAACGAUGAGUGNUAGGUGUUGGAUCCUUUCCGGGAUUCAGUGCCGCAGCUAACGCAUUAAGCACUCCGCNUGGGGAGUACGACCGCAAGGUUGAAACUCAAAGGAAUNGACGGGGGCCCGCACAAGCGGUGGAGCAUGUGGUNUAAUUCGAAGCAACGCGAAGAACCUUACCAGGUCUUGACAUCCCGAUGCUAUUUCUAGAGAUAGAAAGUUACUUCGGUACAUCGGUGACAGGUGGUGCAUGGUUGUCGUCAGCUCGUGUCGUGAGAUGUUGGGUNNNNNNAAAAAANNGAGCGCAACCCCUAUUGUUAGUUGCCAUCAUUCAGUUGGGCACUCUAGCGAGACUGCCGGUAAUAAACCGGAGGAAGGUGGGGAUGACGUCAAAUCAUCAUGCCCCUUAUGACCUGGGCUACACACGUGCUACAAUGGUUGGUACAACGAGUUGCGAGUCGGUGACGGCAAGCUAAUCUCUUAAAGCCAAUCUCAGUUCGGAUUGUAGGCUGCAACUCG
This 530-nucleotide ribosomal RNA is filed under the name uncultured bacterium. RNAcentral describes it as "partial 16S ribosomal RNA". It matches the Rfam family "Bacterial small subunit ribosomal RNA", at positions 785 to 1314 of the family's 1533-position model. The record is from RNAcentral.